GAUGAACGCUAGCGGGAGGCCUAACACAUGCAAGCCGAGCGGUAUUGUUUCUUCGGAAAUGAGAGAGCGGCGUACGGGUGCGGAACACGUGUGCAACCUGCCUUUAUCUGGGGGAUAGCCUUUCGAAAGGAAGAUUAAUACUCCAUAAUAUAUUGAUUGGCAUCAAUUAAUAUUGAAAGCUCCGGCGGAUAGAGAUGGGCACGCGCAAGAUUAGCUAGUUGGUGAGGUAACGGCUCACCAAGGCGAUGAUCUUUAGGGGGCCUGAGAGGGUGAUCCCCCACACUGGUACUGAGACACGGACCAGACUCCUACGGGAGGCAGCAGUGAGGAAUAUUGGUCAAUGGGUGCAAGCCUGAACCAGCCAUCCCGCGUGAAGGACGACUGCCCUAUGGGUUGUAAACUUCUUUUGUAUAGGGAUAAACCUACCCCCGUGAGGGUAGCUGAAGGUACUAUACGAAUAAGCACCGGCUAACUCCGUGCCAGCAGCCGCGGUAAUACGGAGGGUGCAAGCGUUAUCCGGAUUUAUUGGGUUUAAAGGGUCCGUAGGCGGACUUAUAAGUCAGUGGUGAAAGCCUGUCGCUUAACGAUAGAACUGCCAUUGAUACUGUAAGUCUUGAGUAUAUUUGAGGUAGCUGGAAUAAGUAGUGUAGCGGUGAAAUGCAUAGAUAUUACUUAGAACACCAAUUGCGAAGGCAGGUUGCCAAGAUAUAACUGACGCUGAGGGACGAAAGCGUGGGGAGCGAACAGGAUUAGAUACCCUGGUAGUCCACGCCGUAAACGAUGCUAACUCGUUUUUGGGCUUUAGGGUUCAGAGACCAAGCGAAAGUGAUAAGUUAGCCACCUGGGGAGUACGCUCGCAAGGGUGAAACUCAAAGGAAUUGACGGGGGCCCGCACAAGCGGUGGAUUAUGUGGUUUAAUUCGAUGAUACGCGAGGAACCUUACCAAGACUUAAAUGGGAAUUGACAGCUUUAGAAAUAGAGCUUUCUUCGGACAAUUUUCAAGGUGCUGCAUGGUUGUCGUCAGCUCGUGCCGUGAGGUGUUAGGUUAAGUCCUGCAACGAGCGCAACCCCUGUCACUAGUUGCCAUCAUUCAGUUGGGGACUCUAGUGAGACUGCCUACGCAAGUAGAGAGGAAGGUGGGGAUGACGUCAAAUCAUCACGGCCCUUACGUCUUGGGCCACACACGUAAUACAAUGGCCGGUACAGAGGGCAGCUACACAGCGAUGUGAUGCAAAUCUCGAAAGCCGGUCUCAGUUCGGAUUGGAGUCUGCAACUCGACUCUAUGAAGCUGGAAUCGCUAGUAAUCGCGCAUCAGCCAUGGCGCGGUGAGUACGUUCCCGGGCCU
Molecule: ribosomal RNA, 1345 nt
Filed under: uncultured bacterium
Lineage: Bacteria
Description: bacterial SSU rRNA
Rfam family: Bacterial small subunit ribosomal RNA
Source: RNAcentral